This 302-nucleotide long non-coding RNA is filed under the name Ictidomys tridecemlineatus (thirteen-lined ground squirrel). Its description in RNAcentral is "lncRNA (ENSSTOG00000033956.1)". The record is from RNAcentral. Lineage: Eukaryota; Metazoa; Chordata; Mammalia; Rodentia; Sciuridae.
GACUCAUAAUAAUAAAUCCAUAAUAAGCCUUUACUAACCUUUCUUUGACCCUGAACCAUGCAGCUCAAAGGCUGAAUUGGCUGUGAGAAGUGCAUCCAAAAGUAACAGCUGCAGCUGUGGAGGGCAGCAUUCCGCGUCCCAGAUCAAUGACAGCUCUGAGCUUCUGCUGAUCUCCCCGCAGCCUCUGAAAGAGCAAUUCAAGCAGGGCUGCAAGAAUGGAAAUUCCACACCCUCUCUGAUCUAGGAGGAGGGGGUCAGGAGCCUUAGAAGAAGGAACCUAAAGCUGGCCAGGAGGAGAGGAA